GACGAACGCUGGCGGCGUGCCUAAUACAUGCAAGUUGAGCGCUGAAGGUUGGUACUUGUACCAACUGGAUGAGCAGCGAACGGGUGAGUAACGCGUGGGGAAUCUGCCUUUGAGCGGGGGACAACAUUUGGAAACGAAUGCUAAUACCGCAUAAAAACUUUAAACACAAGUUUUAAGUUUGAAAGAUGCAAUUGCAUCACUCAAAGAUGAUCCCGCGUUGUAUUAGCUAGUUGGUGAGGUAAAGGCUCAUCAAGGCGAUGAUACAUAGCCGACCUGAGAGGGUGAUCGGCCACAUUGAGACUGAGACACGGCCCAAACUCCUACGGGAGGCAGCAGUAGGGAAUCUUCGGCAAUGGACGAAAGUCUGACCGAGCAACGCCGCGUGAGUGAAGAAGGUUUUCGGAUCGUAAAACUCUGUUGGUAGAGAAGAACGUUGGUGAGAGUGGAAAGCUCAUCAAGUGACGGUAACUACUCAGAAAGGGACGGCUAACUACGUG
Molecule: ribosomal RNA, 497 nt
Filed under: uncultured bacterium
Lineage: Bacteria
Description: partial 16S ribosomal RNA
Rfam family: Bacterial small subunit ribosomal RNA
Source: RNAcentral